RNAcentral lists this ribosomal RNA (467 nucleotides) under uncultured bacterium. RNAcentral's name for it is "bacterial SSU rRNA". It matches the Rfam family "Bacterial small subunit ribosomal RNA", at positions 331 to 794 of the family's 1533-position model. The record is from RNAcentral.
CCAGACUCCUACGGGAGGCAGCAGUGAGGAAUAUUGGUCAAUGGGCGGGAGCCUGAACCAGCCAAGUCGCGUGAGGGAAGACGGUCCUAUGGAUUGUAAACCUCUUUAGGCGGGGAGCAAUGCCGGGCACGCGUGUCCGGAGGGAGAGUACCCGCAGAAUAAGCAUCGGCUAACUCCGUGCCAGCAGCCGCGGUAAUACGGAGGAUGCGAGCGUUAUCCGGAUUUACUGGGUGUAAAGGGCGUGUAGCCGGGAAGGCAAGUCAGAUGUGAAAUCCGGAGGCUCAACCUCCGAAUUGCAUUUGAAACUGUUUUUCUUGAGUACUGGAGAGGCAGACGGAAUUCCUUGUGUAGCGGUGAAAUGCGUAGAUAUUAGGAGGAACACCAGUGGCGAAGGCGGUCUGCUGGACAGCAACUGACGCUGAGGCGCGAAAGCGUGGGGAGCAAACAGGAUUAGAUACCCCAGUAAU